CAUUAAGAAGCUUUAAU
This 17-nucleotide transfer RNA is filed under the name Pseudoeurycea robertsi. Its description in RNAcentral is "partial tRNA-Lys". The record is from RNAcentral. Lineage: Eukaryota; Metazoa; Chordata; Amphibia; Caudata; Plethodontidae.